RNAcentral lists this transfer RNA (88 nucleotides) under bacterium. RNAcentral's name for it is "tRNA-Leu". It matches the Rfam family "tRNA". Rfam says of the family: Transfer RNA (tRNA) molecules are approximately 80 nucleotides in length. The record is from RNAcentral.
GCCGCGAUGGUGGAAUUGGUAGACACGCAAGACUCAAAAUUUUGUGUCCAUUACGGACGUGCGAGUUCGAUUCUCGCUCGCGGUACCA